CUGCAGUGAAUUUGUUAUACGUGAAUGUGUGUUCCAUGUAUCUGGUUAGCCAUGGUGAAAAGGUUCUGAAUGCUCCAGAGGAUCCGCUUCUGAUGCCCAGCUAACGUCACUCCGAUUCUGCAGAGGUCACUAGAAAUUGGAAGGAGAAAGAUCGUCCCAAUAGCCAAACCUAAAUUGAAAACCCAUGGACAAAGAGACCUGGCUUUGAGGAGACUUCUGAAGGAUGAAAAUGGCAGUUGAAUUGUACGAAAAGAACAAUUCUCUGGGUUUGUAAGAAAGAUCUGCAGAUGGUGGUUUAAAUCAAAGGUAGCCACAAUGCUGGAGUAACUCAGCGGGACAGACAGCAUCUCUGGAGAAAAGGAAUGGGUGACGUUUCAGGUCGAGACCCUUCUUCAGACUUCCUCUGGCCAAUUUCAAAGCCAAUUUUCUGGCUUUGAUCUUUUGCGUCAUUGUAAAUAAUGCUUAAAGUCUGCAUUACAAUACAUAAAUCCUACUGAAAGUAAUCAUUACAAGGCUCAUCGUUUGUAAUCUUUUGCAAUGAUGGAUUUCCUACGAUUCUGUGAACUUUGCUGCUAUUAACAAUACUGAGUUAUCUGAAGGGACAGGAGCCUAGGACGCCACUGAAAUAUCACAUAAUGAUCAGCAAUUGUGUCAAUUUGGCAUUUUAGCAACUGCUGCUAAUAAUCUCAUGCUUCCUUGCUUCAAGAGUUUAGCAAGUAUCACAGCAGAGCCUGCGACCAUUAGCGACGGUCUUUGAUCAGGCCACUAAUGAUUUUGAUUCUGGAGUUUAUCUCCUUCAAAAUAUGUCAGAUGCCCAUGCAGAAGGGACUGCGGCUAGGUUCCUCCUUGCCAGUUAAGAAAUUAUUUUUUUAAAAAAAGCUACAGUUUUGCUUAAGAUAAUGAUCGGUGAAAACUUCCUGCAUCAUUAAAACCGCAGCGUAUAAGAAGCACCCAGCGGACCCAUGCCCUACUACUGGGACACUUGGUUAUUAAAAGAAAACUAUAUUUCUUUGAAGUUGAGGAAGCUGAGGUGAGAUGCGUUCUGGUAGAGGUGUGUAAAAUUAUGAGUGGUGUCAAUUGGAGAGAAUGUAGGCAAUUCUCAUUAUAGCAGAGAGGUCUAACACUACAGACAUUAAUUUAAGGUAAGGAGUUUAUUUUUACAAUGAUUGCAUAGUCAACAUUUCCCCAGAUCAGGUAAGCUGUGAUCAUAGGUAUUCCAGAGAACUAAUUCUUCCCAUACGCUGAUUAAUAAUUCCAGGAUUCAUUGAUGCUUUUUUUAAACAAGUCCCCCUUAGGUCCCCCUGCUGAAUAAAUAAUUAAUCUGUGCUCUUCAUAGGUGUUGACGAAGAAUCCACCUACAUAUAUUGGGCUGCAACAAGUAUCAGAUCAAGUACUUGGCCAUAAUCUGAGGUCCCGCAAUCCUUAAAAAAACAGUUUGUAUUAAUAAGCCUCUUUGUCAAUUUUAAUUGUUUCCCAUCACCGCCUUGCAUUAACUUAAUCCAUAGGUUCAAGCUGAAAUGCAUCGGCCUCAACUCGAGCACCUCCAAUCCUGAGAAAUAUCCCUCAGAAAAUAUCCCUACAAUUCAGAUGAUAUUUAACCAUCUUGAUUAGUACAGGUGUCAGAGGUUAUGGGGAGAAGGCAGAAGAAUGGGGUUAGAUGGGAGUGAUAGAUCAGCCAUGAUUAAAUGGCGGAGUAUACUUGAUGGGCUAAAUGGCCUAAUUCUACUCCUAUUCCUUAUGAUCUUUUAAUACCAACAAUGUGUUGAAGCGAGUGAUAUUUUUAGUUCUAUA
Molecule: long non-coding RNA, 1791 nt
Organism: Leucoraja erinaceus (little skate)
Lineage: Eukaryota; Metazoa; Chordata; Chondrichthyes; Rajiformes; Rajidae
Exons: 3
Source: RefSeq, a predicted model, not a curated record